This 253-nucleotide ribosomal RNA is filed under the name uncultured bacterium. RNAcentral's name for it is "partial 16S ribosomal RNA". It matches the Rfam family "Bacterial small subunit ribosomal RNA", at positions 524 to 776 of the family's 1533-position model. The record is from RNAcentral.
UACGGAGGGGACUAGCGUUGUUCGGAAUUACUGGGCGUAAAGCGCACGUAGGCGGAUUUGUAAGUCAGGGGUGAAAUCCCGAGGCUCAACCUCGGAACUGCCUUUGAUACUGCGAAUCUCGAGUCCGGAAGAGGUGAGUGGAAUUCCUAGUGUAGAGGUGAAAUUCGUAGAUAUUAGGAAGAACACCAGUGGCGAAGGCGGCUCACUGGCCCGUAACUGACGCUCAGGCGCGAUAGCGUGGGGAUCAAACAGG